UACGUAGGGUGCAAGCGUUGUCCGGAAUUAUUGGGCGUAAAGAGCUCGUAGGCGGUUUGUCGCGUCUGCUGUGAAAACUCGGGGCUUAACUCCGGGCCUGCAGUGGGUACGGGCAGGCUGGAGGCAGGCAGGGGAGAACGGAAUUCCCGGUGUAGCGGUGAAAUGCACAGAUAUCGGGAGGAACACCGGUGGCGAAGGCGGUUCUCUGGGCCUGUACUGACGCUGAGGAGCGAAAGCGUGGGGAGCGAACAGG
RNAcentral lists this ribosomal RNA (253 nucleotides) under uncultured bacterium. Its description in RNAcentral is "partial 16S ribosomal RNA". It matches the Rfam family "Bacterial small subunit ribosomal RNA", at positions 524 to 776 of the family's 1533-position model. The record is from RNAcentral.